CGGACCGGCGCACGGGUGAGUAACGCGUAUGCAACUUACCUAUCAGGAGGGGAUAACCCGGCGAAAGUCGGACUAAUACCGCAUGAAGCAGGGGCCCCGCAUGGGGAUAUUUGCUAAAGAUUCAUCGCUGAUAGAUAGGCAUGCGUUCCAUUAGGCAGUUGGCGGGGUAACGGCCCACCAAACCGACGAUGGAUAGGGGUUCUGAGAGGAAGGCCCCCACAUUGGUACUGAGACACGGACCAA
RNAcentral lists this ribosomal RNA (243 nucleotides) under uncultured bacterium. RNAcentral's name for it is "partial 16S ribosomal RNA". It matches the Rfam family "Bacterial small subunit ribosomal RNA", at positions 91 to 334 of the family's 1533-position model. The record is from RNAcentral.